This 77-nucleotide transfer RNA is filed under the name Rickettsiales bacterium. RNAcentral describes it as "tRNA-Met". It matches the Rfam family "tRNA". From Rfam's summary of the family: Transfer RNA (tRNA) molecules are approximately 80 nucleotides in length. The record is from RNAcentral. Lineage: Bacteria; Pseudomonadati; Pseudomonadota; Alphaproteobacteria; Rickettsiales.
GGCGGGGUAGCUCAGGUGGUUAGAGCAGCGGGAUCAUAAUCCGCGUGUCGGGGGUUCGAGUCCCUCUCUCGCUACCA